AAGGAACAUUUUUGACCAUGAAGGGAAGUGACUAGUUAAUAAAAAAUUAUAAUCAAAAUAAAAUAAAAAUAAAAAAUAAAAUAUGAUAAAAGAAAAAAAAAUGGAACAUUAUCCUGUGCUCCAUGUUGCACUAUGUUCAUGUGUGCGAGCCGAGGCGGGCACGCACGUGUGAAAUAUAAAAUCUACUUCCCCCCUAGGUCCCCAAGC
RNAcentral lists this long non-coding RNA (207 nucleotides) under Elaeis guineensis (African oil palm). RNAcentral describes it as "long non-coding RNA (EGUI_LNC012851)". The record is from RNAcentral. Lineage: Eukaryota; Viridiplantae; Streptophyta; Magnoliopsida; Arecales; Arecaceae.